ACUUUUCUGCUCCUUCAGCUAUUAGCCAAGCACUACAUUCUAGUUAUUGUGCGUCUGAGCGCUAGGAGAACAUGUCUUUGAAAUGAGUAUCAUCCAAGAGUUUACCUGCUCGGGUGAAGGCCAACAAUCAUGUUUUUAGAGUGUUCGUGAGCGGCAUGACUGCUCGCUUCGCCCUCUCCUUCGUGGUGACAUGACAGUGAGCGACACGUUCAUCUAACUACACUCAAUCAAGCGGGAUGGCUACACCGAUUGGUACCAUGUCGGAUGUUGGGUUAGGAGAAGUUCCUCCUUGUUGAUGUUGAAUGGAGCACAUGCAACGAUUCGUGGUAUUUGUAUGGUCGAUCUAAAUCUUACUUUGGCAAAGACCAUGCAAAUAAAAAACAUGUACCAUAUCCCCUCAAUAAGGAAAAACUUAGUUAGUUAUUUGUUCAUGUAUCAAGAUGGCUAUAAAGUUAUGUUUAAUCCUAAUAAAUUUAUGUUAAGGAUGAAACUUUUAUUGGUAAAGAAUAUGAGAGCAAAGGCUUGUUCUGCUUGUCUUC
This is a long non-coding RNA of Zea mays, 539 nucleotides long. RefSeq lists it as uncharacterized. Lineage: Eukaryota; Viridiplantae; Streptophyta; Magnoliopsida; Poales; Poaceae. The transcript is spliced from 2 exons. The record is from RefSeq and is a predicted model, not a curated record.